This 550-nucleotide ribosomal RNA is filed under the name uncultured Chryseobacterium sp. RNAcentral describes it as "bacterial SSU rRNA". It matches the Rfam family "Bacterial small subunit ribosomal RNA", at positions 900 to 1460 of the family's 1533-position model. Lineage: Bacteria; Pseudomonadati; Bacteroidota; Flavobacteriia; Flavobacteriales; Weeksellaceae. The record is from RNAcentral.
CUUAAAGGAAUUGACGGGGGCCCGCACAAGCGGUGGAUUAUGUGGUUUAAUUCGAUGAUACGCGAGGAACCUUACCAAGACUUAAAUGGGAAUUGACAGAUUUAGAAAUAGAUCCUCCUUCGGGCAAUUUUCAAGGUGCUGCAUGGUUGUCGUCAGCUCGUGCCGUGAGGUGUUAGGUUAAGUCCUGCAACGAGCGCAACCCCUGCCAACAGUUGCCAUCAUUCAGUUGGGGACUCUGUUGGGACUGCCUACGCAAGUAGCGAGGAAGGUGGGGAUGACGUCAAAUCAUCACGGCCCUUACGUCUUGGGCCACACACGUAAUACAAUGGCCGGUACAGAGGGCAGCUACCUGGUGACAGGAUGCGAAUCUCGAAAGCCGGUCUCAGUUCGGAUUGGAGUCUGCAACUCGACUCUAUGAAGCUGGAAUCGCUAGUAAUCGCGCAUCAGCCAUGGCGCGGUGAAUACGUUCCCGGGCCUUGUACACACCGCCCGUCAAGCCAUGGAAGUCUGGGGUACCUGAAGUCGGUGACCCGUAAAAGGAGCUGCCUAG